RNAcentral lists this ribosomal RNA (253 nucleotides) under uncultured bacterium. RNAcentral's name for it is "partial 16S ribosomal RNA". It matches the Rfam family "Bacterial small subunit ribosomal RNA", at positions 524 to 776 of the family's 1533-position model. The record is from RNAcentral.
UACGUAGGGGGCUAGCGUUGUCCGGAUUUAUUGGGCGUAAAGAGCGUGUAGGCGGCCAGGUAGGUCUGCUGUGAAAACUCGAGGCUCAACCUCGAGACGUCGGCGGAAACCAUCUGGCUAGAGUCCGGAAGAGGAGAGUGGAAUUCCUGGUGUAGCGGUGAAAUGCGCAGAUAUCAGGAAGAACACCCGUGGCGAAGGCGGCUCUCUGGGACGGUACUGACGCUGAGACGAGAAAGCGUGGGGAGCGAACAGG